RNAcentral lists this ribosomal RNA (274 nucleotides) under uncultured bacterium. Its description in RNAcentral is "partial 16S ribosomal RNA". It matches the Rfam family "Bacterial small subunit ribosomal RNA", at positions 523 to 796 of the family's 1533-position model. The record is from RNAcentral.
AUACGGAGGGGGCUAGCGUUGUUCGGAAUUACUGGGCGUAAAGCGCGCGUAGGCGGACCAGUCAGUCAGGGGUGAAAUCCCGGGGCUCAACCCCGGAACUGCCUUUGAUACUGCUGGUCUUGAGUUCGCGAGAGGUGAGUGGAAUUCCGAGUGUAGAGGUGAAAUUCGUAGAUAUUCGGAGGAACACCAGUGGCGAAGGCGGCUCACUGGCUCGAUACUGACGCUGAGGUGCGAAAGCGUGGGGAGCAAACAGGAUUAGAAACCCCAGUAGUCC